RNAcentral lists this ribosomal RNA (484 nucleotides) under uncultured bacterium. RNAcentral describes it as "partial 16S ribosomal RNA". It matches the Rfam family "Bacterial small subunit ribosomal RNA", at positions 30 to 507 of the family's 1533-position model. The record is from RNAcentral.
AUUGAACGCUGGCGGCAGGCCUAACACAUGCAAGUCGAGCGGAUGAAGGGAGCUUGCUCCUGGAUUCAGCGGCGGACGGGUGAGUAAUGCCUAGGAAUCUGCCUGGUAGUGGGGGAUAACGUCCGGAAACGGGCGCUAAUACCGCAUACGUCCUGAGGAAGAAAGUGGGGGAUCUUCGGACCUCACGCUAUCAGAUGAGCCUAGGUCGGAUUAGCUAGUUGGUAGGGUAAAGGCCUACCAAGGCGACGAUCCGUAACUGGUCUGAGAGGAUGAUCAGUCACACUGGAACUGAGACACGGUCCAGACUCCUACGGGAGGCAGCAGUGGGGAAUAUUGGGCAAUGGGCGAAAGCCUGAUCCAGCCAUGCCGCGUGUGUGAAGAAGGUCUUCGGAUUGUAAAGCACUUUAAGUUGGGAGGAAGGGCAGUAAGUUAAUACCUUGCUGUUUUGACGUUACCAAAAGAAUAAGCACCGGCUAACUUCGUG